Molecule: ribosomal RNA, 408 nt
Filed under: uncultured bacterium
Lineage: Bacteria
Description: bacterial SSU rRNA
Rfam family: Bacterial small subunit ribosomal RNA
Source: RNAcentral
GACGAACGCUGGCGGCGUGCUUAACACAUGCAAGUCGAGCGGUAAGGCCCUUCGGGGUACACGAGCGGCGAACGGGUGAGUAACACGUGGGUGACCUGCCCUCAGCUCUGGGAUAAGCCUGGGAAACCGGGUCUAAUACCGGAUAUGACCAUUGGAUGCAUGUCUGGUGGUGGAAAGCCAGUUACUUUUGUUUCUGGCGGCUGGGGAUGGGCCCGCGGCCUAUCAGCUUGUUGGUGGGGUGAUGGCCUACCAAGGCGGUGACGGGUAGCCGGCCUGAGAGGGCGACCGGCCACACUGGGACUGAGACACGGCCCAGACUCCUACGGGAGGCAGCAGUGGGGAAUAUUGCGCAAUGGGCGGAAGCCUGACGCAGCGACGCCGCGUGGGGGAUGACGGCCUUCGGGUUGU